AUAUAACUAAGCGGAGGAAAAGAAACUAACAAGGAUUCCCUCAGUAACGGCGAGUGAAGCGGGAAGAGCUCAGACGUGUAAUCUUCGGAAUUGUCGUCUGGAGAAGCUAGAUCGCAAGGGAGGUAAACUAUUCUGGAAUGAAUGGCCGAGGAGGGUGACAGCCCCGUUCAUGCCCCCCGUAGCAGCUUUCAGCUUUCGAAGAGUCGAGUUGUUUGGGAUUGCAGCUCUAAUGUGGUGGUAAAUUCCAUCUAAAGCUAAAUAUUGGUGGGAGACCGAUAGCGCACAAGUA
RNAcentral lists this ribosomal RNA (289 nucleotides) under uncultured eukaryote. RNAcentral's name for it is "partial large subunit ribosomal RNA". It matches the Rfam family "Eukaryotic large subunit ribosomal RNA", at positions 40 to 350 of the family's 3401-position model. The record is from RNAcentral.